GGCCGCCUGGCGAAAUGGCAUCGCGUCUGACUACGAUUACAAAAUCAGGAUCAGGAGAUUGCAGGUUCGAGACCUGCGGUGGUCA
Molecule: non-coding RNA, 85 nt
Organism: Hymenopellis radicata
Lineage: Eukaryota; Fungi; Basidiomycota; Agaricomycetes; Agaricales; Physalacriaceae
Source: the annotation of a GenBank genome assembly